CGCAGCACAAGUGGUGGUCAUUAUUAUUGGGCCUAAAGCGUCCGUAGCUGGCUUGUUAGAUGCCUGGGUAAAUCGAUGCGCUCAACGCAUCGAACUCCGGGUAGACCGGCAAGCUUGGGACCGGGAGAGGCGUGAGCUACUCGAGGGGUAGGGGUAAAAUCCUGUAAUCCUUCGGGGAGGACCAGUGGCGAAGGCGUCACGCUAGAACGGCUCCGACAGUGAGGGACGAAGCCCUGGGGCGCAAACC
This 247-nucleotide ribosomal RNA is filed under the name uncultured euryarchaeote. RNAcentral's name for it is "partial 16S ribosomal RNA". It matches the Rfam family "Archaeal small subunit ribosomal RNA", at positions 478 to 725 of the family's 1478-position model. Lineage: Archaea; Methanobacteriati; Methanobacteriota. The record is from RNAcentral.